CACGCCUCCAUUGUGACUCAUUAACUUAGGUAAGAAUGAAGGGUCUCAUUCAACCCCUCAUUCUUACCUAAGGGUUGUGUGAGACCCCUUCUCCAAAGCUUUUUGCAUCUUAAGAAAGAUAAUUCCUAGGAAAGGUGCCUCACCUGGGUCAUAGCCAGUGGAAAAAGGAAAGCUUAUGAUAUCUCUUGGUCUGGUAUUAAGAGGCCAGGCUGGAAAAGGAAGGCACCAUUUCCAUCAUAUUCUUCUGGAGAGAACUUAGUCUCAUCUUCUUCACAGAAGAUGGGGAAAGGUGGCCCAGCUGGUCAGCCCUGUGCCUGGCUGCAUUUCUGUUACUAUGGAAGGAGGGAAAAAGGAAAGCCAGCAGUGCAUGUCACGCUUACAUAAGCUCCCUCCAUCAGGAAACUUAAGACCAACUCCAUUUGAUCUGAUCAGAGGACGUCUAUAAGGACCAACACAGUGUCACAUUCAAAAGCAUCUUUCUCCCCCUCCAAUCAACCAGUGUCCUGGGGCCUUCUUACCUCUGGGUAAGUUCUUUGCUAUCUUGGGCUCUCCUAGAGGUGGACAAUGAUCUUCCUUUUGGUUGAGAGUCCUAAUUGAGGAGCCUUAAGAUCUGACCAUUUGUCUAAAAGUCCUCUAGAUAACUUCUCCCAAGUUUACAUUGGUCCUUAUGCAAAUACACCUCCAAAUGGCCCAUCCCAGAAUGUCAGAAUUUCUUAACUGUACCCUGGAAACAGAGUCUCAGGGCAAACCAAGAAUGUGUCCUGGAGUGGACUACCCGAAGCACAGUACUUAUACAUUCUCUUUCACAGAAAAUGAGAAGGUGGCCGAGAAGGAAAGGUGACAUUCUUACAACUCUAAAUGGUGCUCAGUGUUGUUAUAAAUAAGAUAAAGCAAAUAUGUGGUUCAGGUAUAUAGAGUAAAAGAUUAACAUGUAUGUAGGCAUCUCGGGGUCUGGGGAGGGAUGAUUGAUUUUAUCUUGCCUUUAUUCUUCAUCUAUAGGCAAGGUUGUCAUCAACACAGGUCAGUGGAAUAUUUGACAUAUUCUAGGCUUGCAGGCUGAGAUUUCAGCUUUUGUUCAUAGGCCUAGUUUAUAUUAAUUGUUCACAGUUAUUAACUGUAUAUCCUGCCUGCAGCCACCUUGGGAUGCCAUUUUUAAAAACUUUUUUCUUCAGCUUUUUCUUUCCUCCAGGAGUUGUGGUACACCACCCUCCCUGCAUGUAUUCAGCAACCUAGAAGCUGUCUGAACCCUGUCCUUUAGGGUUUUAUAAUGACUUCACUACAGAGACACGAUUGAUUAAAUUAUUGGCCAUUGGUGAUUAACUCAAUCUUCAGCCCCUCCAUCCUGGAGACUGGGGGUGGUGCUGAAAGUUCCAACCCCUAAUCACGUGAUUGGUUCCUCUGGCAAUCAGUCCCCAUCUCUUCAGGAGUCCCCACCCAUCAGUCAUUUUAUUAGCAUAUCUUGAAAAAACUUCACUUUGGAGAUUCCAAGUGUUUUCAGAGAGGUGUGCCAGGAAACCAGGGCAGAGGCCAUAUAUAUGUAUUUUUAUAAUCUCACAAGAUAUUAACAGAAUAUAGUUUAAACUCUAUAAAACGUUUUAAAGAGGGUUUGUUCUGAGCCAAUAUGAGUGACUGCAGCUCAGGGAUACACAGUCUCAAGAGGUCCUGAAAAAGUGAGCCCAAGGCAAUCGGGUUAUAGUUUGGCUUUAUAUAUUUCAGGGAGACAGAAAUUGCAGGUAAAAUCAUAAAUCAAUGGAAUGUAUAUAUUGGUUUGGCCUGAAAAGGUGGGACAUCUCAAAGUAGGGGCUUAAAGUCAUAGGUGGGUUUUAGGUGUUCUUUAGUUAGCAAUUGGUUUGAAGCAGUGAAGCUUUAUCUAAAUACUUGAAGUCAGUAGAAAAAAAAAAAGCUUAAGAUACACAGUCUGCUAUCUGUCAUGUGAUGCUACACUAGAGUCUGGUUGGAAGGUAAGCCACAUUAUACCAGGUUACUUAAAACAGACACACACACACACACACACACACACACACACAGAGACACAUUAACGGGAUUUUAUGGUGUGUGACUUAACCCUGGCCUUGCAUAGACUUAGGUUUUUUUGUAAUUUGGUAUUCUAUUACCACAAAAAGCCUGUUUUGUCAGUCUUAUGACUUCUAUUUUAACAUUAAUGUUGGUCACUUGUGCCUACGCUCCAUGAUGAGGCGUGACUGACUUCGCUUCUCAUCAUAACAAAGAACUCAGAUUUGUGGGUUUCACUGGAGUCCCCUUGGCUAAGAGGGGGUCUGUUCAGUUAGGGAGCUUAGGAUUUUUUUAGCUUAUAAUAUUACUCUGUUUUCUACUAAAAGUGUAAUCAUUUUAGCUCUUAUAUUAGGGUAUAUAACUUACCUCAAAUUAAUUUUUUUGUAGGUAGGGUAUAAGAUGGGGCCAAGCUUUAUCUUUACAUAUAUAUAUAUUUAUAUACACACACAUAUAUGUUCACAUACUCAAAUAUAUAUUUGUAUGUGUGUGUUCAAUUGUUCCAGCAUCAUUUGUUGAACAAACUUCCCUUUUUUCAUUGAAUUUAUUGGGCAUCUUUGUUUAAAAUCAAUUGACCAAUACAGAAAAUUAGCUGGGCGUGGUGGCACAUGCCUGUAAUCCCAGCUACUGGGAGGCUGAGGUGGGAGAAUCUCUUGAACACAGGAGGUGGAGGUUGCAGUGAGCCAAGAUUGCACCACUGCACUCCAGCCUGGGGAACAGAGCAAGACUCCAUCUAAAAAAAAAAAAAAAAUCAAUUGACCUAUACUUAUACAGGUGUGAGGUAUACCUUAUAGAUACAGGUAUUAUCACUGGGGUUGCAUUGGCUCCAUAAAUCAACAGGGGAAGAACUGACAUCUUAGCAAUAUUGAGCCUUCUGUUCCAUGAAAAUGGUAUAUCUCUGCAUUUAUUUAGGUCUUUUAAAUGUUUACUCAGUAAUGUUUUUUCUUUUUUUUUUUUUUGUCAGGGUCUCACCCUGUCACCCAGGCUGGGGUGCAGUGGUGUGAUCUCAGCUCACUGUAACCUCCACCUCCCAGACUCAAGUGGUCCUCCCAACUCAGCCUCCCUAGUAGCUGGGACCACAGGUGCACACCACCAUGCCUGGCUGAUUUUUUUUUUGUAUGUUUGCAAGACACAGGGUUUCACCAUGUUGCCCAGGCUGGUCUACAACUCCUGAGUUCAAACGAUCCUCCUGCCUCAGCCUCCCAAAGUGCUGGGAUUACAGGUGUGAGCCACCACACCCAGCCCAUGUUUUGUAGUUUUCAACAUAUUUUGCAUGUCUUUUGUCAAAUUUAUUCCUGAGCAUUUUAUUUUUGACACUAUUACAAAUGGAUAAAAAUGUUUCCGAUUGCUUGCUGUUAGUAUAUAGAAAUACUGUACAAUUGAUUUUUGCAUGUUGACCUCAUAUCCUGAGAUCUUGCUAAACUUAUGUUUUAGUUCUAUUAAUUUUUGUUUCAAUUUCUUAGAACUUUCUACAUAAAAAAUAAUAUGGUCUUCAAAUAAUGUUUUACUUCUUCUUUUCCAAUCUUUAUGUCCUUUCUUUCUUCUUGCCUUCUUGCACUGGUUAGGACUUUUGGCAUAAUGUUAAGUAGAAAUGAUGAGAACAGACAUCUUUCCCUAUUCCCAAUCUUAGUGGGAGAAUGUUCAGAGUUUAGCUAAUUUAAUGUUAACUAUAGAUUUUUUAAUAGAUGCCUUUCAUCAGAUUGAGGAAGUUUCCUUCUAUUUCCAGUUUGCUGAUUUUUUUUAUCAUAAGUGGAUAUUGAAUUUUGCUAAUUGCUUUUCCUUCAACUACUGAGAUGUUCAUAUUGCACUGCUUCUUUAUUCUGUUAAUAUAAUGAAUUACACUUUUUGAUUUCAAAUGCUAAACUAUUAUUGUAUUCCUAGAAUACACUCCAUUUUGUCAUUCUUUAUGUAUGUUGCUGGCUUCAUUUGUUAAUAUUUUGCUGAGCAUUUUUGCAUGUAUCUACAAGAAAUUUUAGCCUAUAGUAUUCCUUUCUUGUAAUAAAGGUCACAUAAUAUGGAAGUGACUGGGGUUGUGGGAAAGUAUAUUAAGGUUGAUGUGCUCUUUGGUGACUCUAAAAUUAUACCAGUAGUCAAUCAAUUACCCACUCCACCUUAAGACACUUUAUAUAUACAGUUUAAACAUUGCUUUAAAAAUAUAGUUAGUGUAGUGCCUUAGAUGAUUUCAAUCACUCAAUGCAAAUGACUGCACAGAUUUGAUAAACUGGACAGAAAAAGGUAAUUAAGAUGGCAAAAGAAAGAGUUCAGCCAUCAGCCUUAUAUAUUCUCAGAAGAGGGAAGAAGAGAAAAAUAAGUUGGAUUUUUUCCCAUUUCAUUAUCAUUUUAUUAUGUUUAUAUUUGCACAUUUCAAAAGUGAGAAAAUUCAACUCAUUGAAAUUGGAAGAAAAAGUUUUUCAGGCCAUCUCAGUAAUUCUUAUGCACAGAAGCAUUGAAACCAUUGGCAAGCUCUGUCUGGCAGGUCCUUAUUAAUGACAAGUCUGUAUGGGUUUUUUUUUGUUUUUUGUUUUUUGUUUUUUUGACAGUUACUUGGUUUAGUUUUCAUUUGAGGAUCUCCAUUUUAAAGGUCACUGUCCCACAUCUCUAUCUUAACUUUAAAAAAAGACAUUUGUAUCUGGCUGAGAGCUACCAGAAGGGUAAAAACAAACAAACUGAUGGAAAAGAGACAAGUUAAGCGUCUUACAUUGUUUUCAGAUGUGAAGACAGUGGGAAAAAUAUGGCAUUAAUGUGUUAAAAACACACACAUUUUGACAAAACUGACAACAAAAUCUUUGAAGAGAGCUGCCUCCUAAGACAAAAAGCAUCCUUGUCCUUACUUAAGGACAAUUUUGAGAUCAGAGAUAUAAAUGAAGACAUGUACAAGACUGUGCUUUGAGUAGCAAAUUUUCUAACAUAAUUAAAUGAAUAAUUAUUGAGCCAUAUGAUAGAAUAUAAUGCAACCAUUGAAAGUCAUCAUGAAAAUAUGCAAUGUCAUAGGAAAUGCCUAUGAUACUGUAACAAGAAAUUCAGACAUACACACAUCCCAAUACAGUGGGCCAAGUGAAAUAAUUAAUUAAAAUUAAUUAAAAAGAACAAUCCUCAGAUACUAGGUAUAAACAUAGAACAAAAACUAAAAGGAAAACACUAAAUUUGUAAUGGUGGUUACCUUAGUGUGAUACAAAUAAAUGAUUUUGGUUUUAUUCUUAUAGUUUUCUGCAUUUUUAAAUUUUUUUCCUAAAACUGGUAUUAUUUCUCUAACAAGAAAAAAAUAUAUAGAAAAAUAGAUUUUUUUAGAUGUCAGUUUGGGAAGAAGUGUCACAUGUCAUACAUGAUACAAGAGACUAAUUUCCCACUCAGCUUUAGAGAUGUACUUGUGAAAUAGCUGUAUUUUAGCACAGAUAAUUUACUUGGUAUCUUAGUAUCUUAAUGAUAGUUCCAGUGAGCCAUUUGGUUUUUGAAGGACAGUUCAGGGAGCCACAUCCUAACAGCUUGACCGCUCUCAUUUCUGGCAUGUGGAGGUGCCAACUUCCUCAUUCCCUGCCCUCUUAACACCACAAGCUGUCAGUUUCCCAGUCACUCUGAACUGUUGGUAGCUUUACAGGCAGGUUGCUGUGCAGUAGAUCUGUGUUUCUGAUAAAUACUGGGUUCUGUUUUGCAUCCAGGCCAGGUAUAUGAGGCAAUCAGCUGGAGCCAGUACAUGGACAUGUUUCAUUGUUCUGUCUGGAGAUACAGUAGAGAGAAAAAUGCUGGGGGUUUGGCAGUGGAGACCUGAAUUUGAGUCUGUUUAUGACAUUGGACAAGUUCUUAACUGCCUUGGGCCUCAGCUCACCCUGAAUGGGUAAAUUAAAUGACCUUUGCCAUACCACUGUGUCAGAGUUGUGAAUUUCAAAGAGUGCAUACGUGUUAUCUAUAACUUGAUUCUAAAGUUUAUAGGGGCCAUGUGUGGUGGCUCACGCCUGUAAUCCCAGCAGUUUGGGAGGCCAAGGUGGGUGGACCACCUGAGGUCAGGAGUUCAAGAUCAGCCUGGCCAACAUGGCAAAACCCUAUCUCUACUAAAAAUACAAAAAUUAGCCAGACGAGGUCACAGGUGCCUGUAAUCCCAGCUACUCAGAGGCUGAGGCAGGAGAACUGCUUGAACCUGGGAGGAGGAGGUUGCAGUGAGCUGAGAUCGCACCACUGCACCACUGCACUCCAGUUUGGGUGAGACAGCAAGAUUCCGUCAAAAAAAUAAAUAAAAAUAAAAAUGACAAUUAAAGUUUAUAGGGGAAGGCAAAACAAACAACAACAACAACAACAAAACCCUCACAGAAUAGCCAAUACAAUAUUGAGAAACAAACUUGGAGGACUGAAAGUACCCAGCUUCAAGACAUACUAUAAAACUACAGUUAUCAAGACAGUGUGGUAUUGGCAAAAGAAGAGGCAAAUAGAUCAAUAGAACACAAGAGAGAGGUCAGAAAUAAACCCAUACAAAUACAGUUAACUGAUCUUUGGCAAAGGAGCAAAGGCAAUUCAAUGGAGAAAGGAUAGUUGUUUCUUAACAAAUAGUGCUGGAACACAUGUACAUCAACAUGUAAAAAUAUGAAUCCUGACAUAGGCCUUAUAUCUUUCACAAAAAUUGACUCAAAAUGGAUCAUAGGCUUACCUGUAAAAUAUAAAACUAUAAGACCCCUAGGAGAUAUCACAGGUAAAAUCUAGAUGAUCUCUGCUUUGGGGAUGACUUUUUAGAUACAACACCAAAGGAUGAUCAAUGAAGGAAAAUAUUGGCAAGAGAAACUUCAUUCUGUUGGGGUGAUCAGACCCAACACCAGGUCGUGGGGGUGACAAAGUCCGGCGGAGCCAAAGGAUGGAGAAAAAGACAGUUCGAGAGAGACAGGUGGGACACCAUCUAGUUUACAGAGGCUGCGAAGGCCCCAAGCUCUGGGAGCCCACGCUAUUUAUUGGUAAUCCAAGAAAGAAACAGGUGGUGAGAAUUUGGAGGUCAAAAGGGCACAUUGCAUUAAGCACAUGAUUUACAGCUGUGAUGGUUCAACAUUUAUAUGGAACAUGUUCUGCUACUUGAGAUAAUGGGAAUAGGAGACUAGGAGCCUAGGAGGGCUAGAAGCAAGGAGCCAGCAAGUCGAGACACAUUCCAGAGGACAUUAGGCAGGCCCUGCCUCAGUUUCCCUCCCAACAUUCAGCUUUUUCCCAACACAUUCAACUUAAAAAGUUUUGCUCUGUGAAAGACACUGUUAAGAGAAUGACAGAUGAGCCUCAAACUGAGAGAAAAUAUUUCAACCCAAAUGAGUUGAAAACACAAACCUGCUUACAAAUGUUUAUAGCAGCUUUAUUAAUAAUUGCCAAAACUUGGAAGUAACCAAGAUGUCUUUCAAUAGGUGAAUGAAUAAAUGGAAUAUUGUUCAAUGAUAAAAAGAAAUGAACUAUCAAGCCAUGAAAAGACGUGGAGAAACUUCAAUGCAUAUUGCUAAGUGAACAGUCUUAUAGUGCUACAUACUGUAUGAUUCCAACUAUAUGACAUUCUGGAAGACGCAAAACUACGGAGACAGCAAAAAGAUUAGUGAUGGCCAGGGGUUGAAGGGAGGGUAAAAUGAGUAGAUGGAGCAGAGAGGAUUUUUAGGCAGUGAAACUGUGCUGUAAGGAUGUACUGUAAGGGUGGGUGGACACAUUUGUCAAAACCCGUGAAUGUACAAGAGUAAAUUCUAAUUCUAAUAAAUUUCAGGUUUUAGUUCAUACUGGUUCAUCAGUUGUAACAAAUGUGCCACACUAAUGCAAAACAUUAAUAAUAAAGGAAAAUGGGGGUUGGGUGGGAAGUGUAUAUGGAAACUAUAUUUUCUGUUCAAUUUCCUAUAAACCUAAAACUAUUAUCAAAAACAGUCUAUUAUUUUUUAAAAGUGUAUGUGAAAGCCAUUUCUAAGUAAAGCACUAAAGAAGGAUAUUUUGGCUACAAGUAAUAGAAAACUCAGUUAAAAUAUAUGUGUGGUUUUUUGUUUGUUUUUCAAGACAGGGACUCCCUCUGUCCCCCAGGCUGGAGUGUGCAGUGAUACGAUCAUAGAUUACGGCAACCUCGAACUCCUGGGCUCAAGGGAUCCUCCCACCUCAGUCUCCCCAAUAGCUGGAACUACAGGCCCACAUCACCAUACCCAGCUAUUUUUAAAUGGUUUCGUAGAGAUGGGUUCUUGCUAUGUUGCCAGGGCUGAUUUUGAAUUCCUGGCCUCAAGUGAUCCUCCCACUUGGUCUUUCAAAAUGCUGGGCACCACUGUGGCUGGCCUAUAUGUUUUCUUGAUUGUGCACACCUAACAGUAAAAGAAAAAUUGUUUGAGAAUGCACUCAACAAUUUAUAUAAAAGUAUGUAUUCAUUUAUAUAUAAAGUAUACACAUUACCUGUAUCAAUGUUAUGUACAUUUUAUAAACAUACAUAAAAAUACAAUUUUA
Molecule: long non-coding RNA, 8433 nt
Filed under: Homo sapiens (human)
Lineage: Eukaryota; Metazoa; Chordata; Mammalia; Primates; Hominidae
Description: HSALNT0181391
Source: RNAcentral